CUCUCCUCCGCUCUUCUCUACCUCCUUCGCUCCCUCCCUCGCUCCCUCGCUCCCACCUAUCUCCUCAUCUCCCUCCGCUGCCUCUCCCGCCCCCAUCCACCCCUCCAUCUCCGCCCACAGAUGGGUGGGAACGGACAGUCCUCCAAUCGGAAGAAGGGGUCCGCACCUCCUCACCGCCCCCUACCGCUACCCCCGCCCACCGCGGGAACGAGGGAGGAGGUAAUUCAAAAAAAAGGAAGAGGAUGGAGUGACAGCCAAAUCAACCAAUCACCCCUGGCGCGACGCUUCUCCUGGCGGAGCAUUCCGGGAGAUGUAGUUCCGAGUUCGGUUGCUAUGGCGUUCUCCACAGCCUCCGGUCGAAGAGUGACGAGAAGCCUGACCAAUGGGAGCAGCGCCUGGGCCAGCGGGGGCGGGGCCCUCUCCAAAAGGACUCCAAGGUGGCGGUGGCGAAGGCGCAGGCCGUUGGGGCGGCUCGGAGGCAGGUGAGCCCCGGGACCCCGGUUCUGUGUCUUGGGAAGCGGGGCUUUGUGCUUUGGACGCCUCGAGGAACCGUGCAACCCUGGGGUGAAUGGUGGUUGGUGCUGCGCCCCAACCCCAGACCUCCUCGGGCCCAGGCCUAGCUUAGCGGGGGCCGCUGAGGGGCGGGAAAGACUUGACAAUUUCCUGGUCCUUACAGGUUUUGAUUGUAGGUUUUAUCUCAGUUUGCAUCUCCCUCCCUUUAUAGAAGCAAAAGUCAAAGGUCCCUUUCAGUGAAUCUCCCAGGUUGGAUUUUUGCCCCCAGCUUUCUUUUUGUUCCUAUAAUUUGCGUUUCUUUUUCUUUCUCCCGUACUCCUCUGCCACCGCUCUUUCCUCCUUCACUUUCCUUUUUCGGUGAACAAUUACCUAAAGCAAGUGUAUUCUCAUUUACGUGAUUAUACGGCCGGCUUUGCCGUCUUAAGAGAAGCAGCGAAAAACCCUGGAGCUGUGCGUGAGAAUCACCUCAGAAACAUGUUGAAGUGCAGAUGCUGAAUUUGUAGGUCUGGGCGGGGCCUGAGACUCUGCAUUUCUCACAAACUCCCGAGUACUGCUAGUCCAUGUUCUGAGUAACGGGGAGUUCUACAUCAGCUCUGUUCGAUACAGACAUAACGCGAGGCACUUAAUUUUAAAUUUUCUGGUAACCACAUUAAAAAACAUGAAACACGUGAAAUUAAUUUUAACAACGUUUCGUUUAACCCAGUAUAUCCAAAAUUUAUCAUUUCAACCCAUAAUCAAAUACUUUAAAAUUGAAAUAUUAUAAAUUCUUGUAUUUGUUAUACUCUACGCCCAACGUGGAGCUUGAACUCACAACCCCGAGAUCAAGAGUCGCUUGAUCUACGGACUGAGCCAGCCAGGCGUCCCAGUUCUUUUUUUUUUUUUUUUUUUAAGUGUCUUUGAAAUCUAAUGUGUGUUUUACCUUGACGACACGUCUCAGUUCUGAUUAGACACAGUUCAAAUGUUCCUUAGCCACCUGUGGACUAGUGGCCACUGUUACUGGACUGCGCAGGUCCAGGAGGUAUAGGUGUCCCCUGCAGAAAUUAAAAGGUGUUAAAGCUCAAACGGUUGCAUGUAACCAAACCCUUUGUUGCUCUGCGAGAUGGGCCUGGGAACUACUUUAGAGAGGCGCUCUGCCCAAUUUGCAGAAAUAAUAGUAAAAAUAGCCAACACUUACCGAACGGUUAUUUUGUGACAGGUGUUGUACUGAGUGCUUUGCUGGUAUUGCUUCUUUACAACAACCCUUGUAGGUAACUACUGCUAUAUUUUGUAGAUGUGGAAUCUAAGAUCUAGAAGGUUGAGAUUGAGUAGCCUAAAGCCAUACAGCCAGCAAUUCAACCAGGAUUCAAACUUGGGUCAGUUUUGACUUCUAAAUCCUGUCAACCACUGCAGUGUAUGAUUAUUAUUUUUUAAUCAAUAAUUUUACUUCAUUGAUGCCUCUGCUCCAGUUUAUGGCUGAUGAAAUGCUCAAGUUGAAACAGAGAGGGUUUCUUCAUGCAAGGUCAAUUUGCCUAUCAGUUGGAGUGACAUACUUUGGUAGUAUUAUAAAUAUUCCAUGCUAUAUAUAUAUUUUUUUUUUUCAGUAAGCUCUCGCCCUACAUGGGGCGUGAAUUCAGGACCCUGAGAUCAAGAGUUGCAUGUUCUAGGGGUACCUAGGGGUCUUGGUUGAGUGUCCAACUCUUGAUUUGGCUUGGGUUGUGGUCUCAGAGUGGUGGAAUGGAGCCCGGGGUUGGGCUCUGCACUCGGCACAGAGUCUGCUUGUCCCUCUCCCCCUGCUCAUGCUCUCUCUCUAUUUAGCUCUAAAAUAAAUAAAUAGUCUUUUUUUGAAAAAUUUGCA
This 2347-nucleotide long non-coding RNA is filed under the name Ursus maritimus (polar bear). RNAcentral describes it as "lncRNA (ENSUMAG00000020078.1)". Lineage: Eukaryota; Metazoa; Chordata; Mammalia; Carnivora; Ursidae. The record is from RNAcentral.